AAUAUUGGACAAUGGGUGAAAUCCUGAUCCAGCCAUCCCGCGUGAAGGAUGAAGGUCCUAUGGAUUGUAAACUUCUUUUGUACAGGAAUAAAACUACUCUCGUGAGAGUAGCUGAAGUUACUGUACGUAUAAGCAUCGGCUAACUCCGUUCCAGCAGCCGCGGUAAUACGGAGGGUGCAAUCGUUAUCCGGAUUUACUGGGUUUAAAGGGUCAGUAGGCGGACCCGUAAGUCAGUGGUGAAAUCUCAUAGCUUAACUAUGAAACUGCCAUUGAUACUGCGGGUCGUGAGUAAAUUUGAAGUGGCUGGAAUAAGUAGUGUAGCGGUGAAAUGCAUAGAUAUUACUUAGAACACCAAUUGCGAAGGCAGGUCACUAAGAUUUAACUGACGCUGAUGGACGAAAGCGUGGGUAGCGAACAG
RNAcentral lists this ribosomal RNA (418 nucleotides) under uncultured bacterium. RNAcentral's name for it is "partial 16S ribosomal RNA". It matches the Rfam family "Bacterial small subunit ribosomal RNA", at positions 360 to 775 of the family's 1533-position model. The record is from RNAcentral.